CCCUUAGAUGUUCUUGGCCGCACACGCGCUACACUGAAGGAGGCAGCGUGUACUCCUGGAUCGAAAGAUUUGGGUAACCCGCGAAUCUCCUUCGUGCUAGGGAUUGAGGUUUGCAAUUAUCCUUCAUGAACGAGGAAUUCCCAGUAAGUGCAAGUCAUAAGCUUGCGCUGACUACGUCCCUGCCCUUUGUACACACCGCCCGUCGCUACUACCGAUUGAAUGAUUUAGUGAGGACUUCGGACUGGGACCGAUGCGGCUUUCGGGCUGCGUCGGUAUUCUGGAAAGAUGUCCAAACUGUAUCAUUUAGAGGAAGUAAAAGUCGUAACA
RNAcentral lists this ribosomal RNA (327 nucleotides) under uncultured eukaryote. Its description in RNAcentral is "partial 18S ribosomal RNA". It matches the Rfam family "Eukaryotic small subunit ribosomal RNA", at positions 1470 to 1796 of the family's 1831-position model. The record is from RNAcentral.